Molecule: ribosomal RNA, 375 nt
Filed under: uncultured organism
Description: partial 16S ribosomal RNA
Rfam family: Bacterial small subunit ribosomal RNA
Source: RNAcentral
GUAGGUGGCAAGCGUUGUCCGGGAAUUAUUGGGGCGUAAAGCGCGCGCAGGCGGUUCUUUAAGUCUGAUGUGAAAGCCCACGGGCUCAACCGUGGAGGGUCAUUGGAAACUGGAGAACUUGAGUACAGAAGAGGAAAGCGGAAUUCCACGUGUAGCGGUGAAAUGCGUAGAGAUGUGGAGGAACACCAGUGGCGAAGGCGGCUUUCUGGUCUGUAACUGACGCUGAGGCGCGAAAGCGUGGGGAGCAAACAGGAUUAGAUACCCUGGUAGUCCACGCCGUAAACGAUGAGUGCUAAGUGUUAGGGGGUUUCCGCCCCUUAGUGCUGCAGCUAACGCAUUAAGCACUCCGCCUGGGGAGUACGGCCGCAAAGGCAG